This is a long non-coding RNA of Dryobates pubescens (Downy woodpecker), 655 nucleotides long. RefSeq lists it as uncharacterized. Lineage: Eukaryota; Metazoa; Chordata; Aves; Piciformes; Picidae. The record is from RefSeq and is a predicted model, not a curated record. The transcript has 3 exons.
UGUAGGGGCUGGCAUAUGAUGGGUGUGUAUCUCUCUUAGAAGUGCUUCUUUGCUUCCAGAGUCUUUUGAGAGCUCAAACGUCUGGACAACAUUAUGCAGUCUCUGUUCCUGUCUCAUACUACAUCAAGCAUCCAGGGUCUCUCCACAAUCCAUGCCUACCACAAAGGACAGGAGUUUCUACACAGUUAACAGGGUUAUUCCAAUUGACAGUUAGACUUGCUUCAGAGUCAGAAGCUCACCUCACCUCAGUGGAGAGGAUUGAUCACUGUGUCAAGUCACAUGAACCUAUCUGACUGGAGAGGAGAUCCUCUUCUUAUUCUAUGAAGCUGCAAAUGCCCAUGGAGAAAAUCUGCAGAGGAGUGUGGCCCUCUCCAGUGCCACUUUGGAGUUUCUCAGGAGAUGUGAGCUGGCUACUGGGAAGAGCUCUGACAAGCGUGAGAAAGGCUGUGGCUGGAAAUUGAACGUGUGGCUCUAGGAACCUGGAUGCAGCACAAACAUCCCAAACAUUUUCAAUGGAUUUUAUUUUGUUUAAUAAAAAACACCAACCAAGCUUGCAUGUAUAUCUUAUAUAUAUAAAUAUAUACAGUAUAUAUAAAACAAAUGCAUCUGGACAACGCCUUUCCCUGUGGCGCAAACUGUAAGGCAUAGAAGGGGU